GGCAGGCUGUAGAGAAUGGCUAAAGAAGUGUUGAAACACGCAUCUGAGGUUCUGGGAUUGGUUUUGUCAUAAUGGCCCAUUCAAACAUUCCUGGCAAAUCAUGUAGCUAUGUGGGUGCUUUUCUAGAAACAUCUUCCCCUUUGGCAUCCCAGGAUAUUUCAUGCUGUUUGCAGUGCAGAUGUUUCUCCUGGGCUUUUCCCUAGAGUUGCUACAGGAAUCAUUCUCUGCUUUGGUGCGGAGGGAACUCUGAGCUGAGACUAUGAUCUUCCAAAAUGCCAGAGUCUUGCUUAUCUGAUUUCCAAGAGUUAUCCCCUAAAAGUCCAGAGGCAAACCUCGAAGAAGAUGCUACGUGAGGUAGGUUACAGCCUGGUGAGUAACGUCCCAAAUGCGGCAUGAGAAAACCUCAUCUUUGCAGAAAAACUGAAAUGCAAUGUUAGGAAAAAGUCUUUUAGGAAAAAAAAGUGGGCAUAAAAUUAUUCCUCUAGUAUUUAAAAAACCCAAAUUAUUCAUUUAUUUUUGUAUCUGAGAUGUUUGACAUUUGUGUGGAUAUUAUUUUUGAAACAAGGAAUGAAUGCAGACAGUUGGGGGCCAAUAAUGAACAAUUGGACUAAAAGCCAUAACCGUGAGCUUAGGGGUACCCCAGGAAUGGUGCUGUUAUUGUGAAAAAUAAGUGUUUUGAAAAAUAACUUGAAAUUCUUAAGAUAGAUCUACCAUUUACAAUUCCACGUGACUGCCGUGGUCGAAGUAGGAUUGACUCGUUAGUCUCCAUGGCUCCAGUCUCUGAAGGUAUGGGUAUUUAGUGUAUGGAAAGCCUUUGGAAGAUAAUUCUCUACCAGUGUGCAGUGAGUCCCCAGUUAAAGUGCUAUAAUAGUGUAGGCUUUCUCAAUUUCCUGUCUGGCAUGAGAGCAGCUUCAUUCCAUAAACAUCAUCAUUAGUAGAAGAGGGGAAAAAAUAAAUGGAGAAACUUGAGACUGUCCAGUGAGUGAGCUCUGCUGUAGGAUGCGGACUGGAUAUCUACCCUGAGGAUGAAGUAGCAGAAAGUUUGCCACGUCUGAUUAUAAAGUGGGCUCUUUUGUAGCCGUUUUCCUGAACCCCUGGAAUAAAGAGGGUUGAUUUGUGAUGGAAUCUCCAGUGCCUGCAGGCAUAUAUUACAGUAUGUUGUAAAUCCAGAGGGUACAAUUUAGAUUUCACGGGGGCCUGGGGGGUAAUUGAAAUUCCAUCUGUUUCUUCCCUGUGGGUUAGAAUCCUAAGACACGCACUCAGGAGAAGAUAUAGGAUUUGCAGUUUUUAAUUUUUAGGUUUAAGUAGAAGCUCACCUAAAUCUGUUCCUCCCUCCUUUUACAUCCUACGUUCAGUUUAAAAAAGAAGAAAAAGAAGAAAGGAAAAAAACUCAGUUUUAAAAGCAGCCAGCCUUUAUUUUCUUCACAGCUGCCCCUAGGCAGCCCCCCUUCCUUGCAGUGCAUGCUGGGUAAUGCCAUGUAUUCUUAGGUUUCCAAUGGCUCCCAUUACUGUCAAUUAGUUACGGAAUGCUACAGAGAUUCAUGCCUGACAGCUCGGGUAAAGGCAGGAGAAAUGGGCUCAGUAGGGAGCGAGGGGCCUGAUUCUUUUUUGUCCACAAGAAAUACCUUUCUCAGCAAGGCUUUUAAUGGCUUUCUCUUCUUUCUUUUCCUCUGCCUGGGCACUCCCCAUGAUCCUAACACACACCAUAUACACAUACACUCAUAUAUUCAUAUGUCAAUGUGUUUGUGUGAAUAUCACAGAAGACUGUGAAAGCUCUUGGGGCAGAAGGCUCUGAAGUAGUUAUACAACCCCUUAGAGCGAGCUUUACAUUCCUACUUAGAUCUUGCUCUGACCAGAUUCCUAACUCGGGUCCCUUCAGGUGACUUGUUCCUAAGUGCUGUCCCAGCCUCUGUUUCACUUGAUAUCAUUUUCUUUGGCAUCUCUCUGACUUCUAAAGGAGAAGCACGUUCAGGCCACAGAUCAUGGGCAGAGCACUGGGCUUCAAUUCCUGGAGUUUAGGCAGCGAAUUCUGCCUGACCAUCCCCACCACUCCCAUGACCUUUAACUUCUUUUUCUCCCUCUUCUUUUUUCUCUUCUUUUGUGACAUCUCCUUUCCCUCCUUGGAAUCACAGAGGACAUUGUUACUCAGGAGAUUUUUCUUUGACUCCUGUAUCAUCUUUUCCUCCCUUCCUGACUUGCCUAAUAUUUAUCCUAACACAUUUUCUGUCACUUUAGCAUUCACUCUCUCACCAUGAGCUUGGAACACCUGACCUGGGUAUUUGAAUAGAUUCCUCCCUCUCCUCAAAUAUAUUUGAGCUUAAAUGCGACCAACACGGAGAGUUCUUCCUGUGUGAAUGGGAGCUGAUGGUGCUAGGAGCCACAAUUCCUGCUCUGUUGUCCCUCCCAUGGCCCCAUGUUCUCUCCAGAGCCCAACGUAUUGUCUAAAGCUGUAUUCCUCAUCUAUAUAUUCCAAUCUCAUUUAUUAUAGCGAGACUUCUUUAAGACAAAUGAUUGUCUUGUUCAACAAACAAACCACAUCUAGGAAUACCACCAUCCGCAAGCAGGAGUUCAAUAAUGCGGCUUAAAAACAGAUUGAAAUGUGUUUUCAGAAUUAUGGAAAACCUGCAUUAGACCAGAAGACUUUUCUUCUUCUGAGUCUGCUGCCAUUGCUCUUUUAUACGAGCCACCAGACCUUCCUCAUGAUUCAAAACAAAGAAAGGUUUAGGAAAGACCUGAUAGGAAAAUACCAGAUGCUAAUAAAACACAAUGAGCACAAUGCUUAAAGUCGUCUGUUCACCCAGAUGGAUACGAAAGCAAGGAUGGGCUAAAAAUAGCAGGAGAUGACACACUGGAGAAGACACGGCCUGCAGCCAUGUGUGCCUGGGUUAUUCAUAGUCUCAGCUCCUUCCUUCCUGGAACCUGGCCUAGUGAGGGACUCACCAAAGGCUGGCAGAGGGAGACAGUCCUAUUCUGUCUCAUCCAGCCAUCUGUGGAAGGCAGAGUAGGGAGGCCCAAGAAAAGGGUAUUGUGGUAGAAGAAAUUAGGGCCAGGUUCUUGGGCCUUAGAGCCCAAGAGUUAGGCUGCAAGCUUUUAUUUCCUGGGUAUUGUAGUCAGGGAACUACUGAGAAGACCCUAUUCAGAAGGGUUUGACAGAAAACUGUCGAGGCUUUACACUGUCAACACAUUUGAGUUCUUACUAAUGAUACCAUCUGAAGUAAGUAGCCAAUGCUACCUCAAAAGCAAAUCUGCUGUAGUUCUCUGUCCUUCAAACUCUAAUAUGCCAACAGCUGACAUGGCAGCUCACUAAAAAGGCGAUUCUGAGAAGGAUCUUGAGGCUCCACAUUUGGAAGACAUUCUCCAGAGAUACCCUUGUUGCCAGUCCACUGACUCUCAAGUCGUAAGAUAUCACUUUACCAUCCUGUCACACAUUAAAAAGUGAUUUGUAAUGAUAAAUUGUCUUUAACCCGAAUUAAAUAAGCAAUAGUCAUUAUCAUAUCUGUAAUUCUACAGAUCAAAAAAAGAAGAUGUAUUUGUAUCUACGGUCCAUGCAUUUUUUUAAGAUAAGCUAAUCUAGGAAGAGCUAUGAAAUAAUAACACACAGCCUAGAUGUACUAAUGUGGUUUAUCCAGUGGAUUUUAUGUAUAGACGAGGCAGAAAUUAUUAAAUGAGUUUUCCUCUCCAAUGGAUUUGUUUUCACAUGAAAAACACCAAUGGCACUGAGUGGUGAAUGAGGUCGGUUGGAGAACAGUCUUGCUGUCUACCCAGCUCCUACUUUCUUGAAGGUGAGGUGUGAUGUCACUAGUGAGGUAGGUACAUGCCCUUUCUUAGUUGUAUGGACUAAAUAGUCAUUCGUUCCUUGCAGCCUUUGUGCGGCAUUUACAUUGUAAUGGCAUUAAGGGGUAGAAUGUGGAAGAGGUGACUGGGCCAUAUGAGCUCUUACUUUGUUGGUGGGAUUAAGGCUGCUAUGAGAGGAUUGAGUUUGGCCUCCUCUCUUUGACUUCUGCUGCGUUAUGACCUAACAAGAAGGCCUUCAAUAGGGGGUAGCACCUUGAUAUUGGACUGUUUGCCUUCCAGAACUGUGAGCUGAUACAUUUCUGCUCAUUACCAAUUACCUCAUUUGUAAUACAGUGUUAUAACAACACAGUUGGACUAAGAUACGUAGGGAACUGUAUCAGUUAUUUCUCUAUUGCUGUGAUAAAACACCAUGACCAAGACUUAAAAAAUAAAGUGUUUAACUGUGCUUUUGGUACCAGAGGAUUAGAGUCCAAAGUGAUGGCAGAACAAAGGCAUGGUGGCAGGAACAGUCGAGAGUUUACAUCUUAAACUGCUAAGAGGAGGCCGAGAACACACUGGAAAUAGCAGGAGUCUUUUGAAACCUCAAAGUCUGCCCCCAGUGACACACCUUCUCCAACAAGGUCACACUUCUUUUUUUUUUUCUUUUUUUCUUUUUUCCAGAGCUGGGGACCGAACCCAGGGCCUUGUGCUUGCUAGGCAAGCGCUCUACCACUGAGCUAAAUCCCCAAACCCUAAGGUCACACUUCUUAAUCCUUCCCAAACAGUUCUAUCAACUGGGAAGCAAAUGUCCAAACAUAUGAGCCUAUGAGGCUAAUUUCAUUCAAGCCACCACAGGAACCUAUACACAGUAUUUGCUUGGGAAGUACAAUAGACUAUUCAUUUACACUUGCGCAGAGUUAAACCUGUUUGUGGCGUGUGCUCUCAUGAACAUGCAGGUGUGAGAUUCAAUUUAUGGAGGCAAGUGACAUUUAUAACUCCAUGAAACCCCCCAAGGGCACAGGCAACAUUUAUGAACCAUUGGCUCGGUGCCAAUUGGGGUGGAGGGUGUCCAGAUUCAAAAUACAAAGAAACAACAAAAAAACCAAAUAUUUUAACACAAAAUGAUAAUUUUGAUAACCUGCAUAAUUUGAAAAACUAUUAGAUGUUUUUGGGCAUUAAAGGGACUUUAUGGAGAAAUAUUACUUUAGAUUAAGAAAGUCCAAGACAUUUCAUCUAAUAGAUUUUGAAUUAGAAUUGGAAGGAAAUUCAGGCUGAGAGGGUAAUGGUUGUGCCAGGCAGGUAGAAGGACAGGAACAAUUAAUUGUGCGGAUAUAAAAAAAAACAUUUAAGUGUUUGGGAAUUUAUGUGAAUAACAUGUUCACUAGAGCGAUUUAUUUGUUUGAAGCAAAUAGGAUAGAGGGACCACGAAGUUGGGGUUCAGUUAAGGAAGGCUUUGAACACUACGUGAGCUAACUGAGGCUUCAUUUGGUAAAUAGUGGAUAAUGCUUUGAGUAGAACAGUGCACCUUAAGAAAAUUAUCUGAAUUGAUUAAUUGCAAUAGUUUGUGUAUAAGAGAGAGGACAGACUGGAUCUGAUGGAAUCAUAAAGUUCAGGGCUGAUGUGGGGUGAUACUGGCAGGGUGCAGAGCAGGCUUAAAAUCAGUUAAAGAAAAUGAGUGUUUGGGGAAAGAGACAAAUUCAAUUUGAGGUACUUUAAUGACUAGUAAGACAGAAAUGUGGGAAAACCCAUUAGACUGUUGUGAGCAGGGCCCUGAUGUAAGACCCUAGCGGAUGCUACGGGCAAUGAAAGUCAUUUCCAAGGAAAAUUAAUGCAGAGGCUGAUCUUGAGAUUCAGACAAGAAAUGUCCAAAUGGAGAAAUAGCAGUUCCAGGGAAAUGGAAUCACACAGAAUAAAAAUGGGGAAAUACUGGAGUGAGGGCUGGGGAGGUGGGGGGAGGGGCAGGCGGUGACCACAGCACUAAAGGCUGCAGAGAGAGUGGGGAAGGCGAGGUCAAGGAGUAGCUCAUUCAGGCCAAGAGUGUGGACAAGCCUGUGCAGAGGAGGGUUCCACACAACUAGAUUUUAAGUGGCGAGCAGGUCGUAAUCAACUUGGGAAUCUGAGUUUUCUUUUCCUUUGGGAAGAAGAAAGUGGGAACUGGAAUAAAAGUGGGUGGAUGGAGGGCUUUUAGACUGACCAUAAUCUUGGGAAAUUGCCAAAAGCUUGGUAAACAGCAGUUAAGACAAGCUUGAGUUUGCCAAAUUAGCACAAACACGGACCUAAAAUACAACAGCAUAAGGUAUGCCCUGGGAGUAGAAAACCAGCUCCGCAGAGCGGCUGGUAAAAAUCUGUCAGUUGCCAAGGAAGAUGUAGGUAGCCUAGCAUGGCUGUCCAGUGAGUGAGUCUAAGCUCUGAAGCUGGGGAAAUCCGGAAACCAGAGUCUCACAAGAGGAGGGGAGGAUAGGAAAUGGCGAUCAAGAAAAAUUGAGACUGCAAACCCCAAAGAUUCUGAUCUCAGUCACUGAGCACAUCACACGGGGCUUCAGCUGGUUGCGGGUGGAAACGAUUCAGGAAGGUCUGCCUCUGCCCUUGAAGACCUUCACUGAAGUCAGGAGACAGAGGUAGUAAUUCUGACUCUGAGGGGAGAAUACACAUCAUGCAGCAGAGGUGGGACAUUAAACAUUGACGACGUGACUGACAUAGCUCCCCAAGGAGCUAUCAGGAACCACCCCUCGCCCCUGCCUUUAUGUCUUUUAUAUCCUUAUAUCUUCCUCAGUUAUCGAAGGAAGGUCACACGGGCUGCACCCUGGACAUGGAGACGUGGAACAGAGAGAAGUUGAACUGAUUCUCUCACAUUGUAAGACUUGAAAGUUAACGCUCAUUACCCUGCCCAGAAUGAGACAGGAAGGCGAUACCUAUCUACCUUCUGGGCCAGCGGUGGAACACUGUGCUGGGCGUGGCAAGCUGGGCUAGGAGGCAGAGACAAGAUGCUCUGUGAGAGAUGAAAGUUACAGCCCUCAAGGAGAAGGCACCCAACGAGAUGCCAGCCCCACAGCUCAUUGACUGCGAAUGCAGGAAGAAGUCUGAGGAGUGCCUUCUGUGACUGACAGGGGGGUCUCUCAUUCUGGACUGAUCUCUCCCUUUCAUCCUCAUACUCAAGAUGCCAUGCCACCUCAGGCCACUCAACCCUGGGAGAAGGGCUGGCUCUGCCAUUUUUUGGUGUGUGACUUGACCAAGUUGCUUGGGACAGAGGAACCUCAUUUCCCUCAUGCAACAGAGUGAGAUGCUCAUAGGGAGAGCGCCUGGAAUAAGCAACUGCAGGACAUUCCUGUCUUUCAUCUCUCCAAUCUAAAGACAAAACCUGGGUCAAUGAAAUGGCUCAGCAGGUAAGGACAUCUGCUGACAACUACUAAGCCAGCAAGCUGGACAGCAGGAAUUUGAUCCUUGGAACCCAUGUAAGUGGAAGAAGAGAACCAAUUACUGGAUGUUGUCCUCUGACUGCCAGAUUCCUGCUGUGGCAUAUGCAUGCGCACACAUAUGCACAAAAAGGAAGUAAAUAUAGGCACUAAAAGAGGAAAUCCAAUCCCAGUACAGAUAGCUGUGAGUCACCAUGUGAAUGCUGGGAAUUGAACUCAGGACCUUGGGGAAGAGCAGUCAGUGUUGUUCACCACUGAGCCAUCUGCAAUAUAUAUAAAAUGAAAUCUCUGUUUUUCUUUUUCCUGUGACUCUCCCCCACUGUGCCCUCUAUUUCCUUCUUAACACCCUGGGUUGGAAUCCUCUUCUCUGUAUUUCUUGGAAUAGCCCACAUUCUCAUGUUCCUUUUCCCUCCUUCAAAUCCCUCUGUAAAACUUCUUUUUCUUGGCCUUCCAAUUUUUCCCUUGCUCCUCAGCAUCGUCAAAGGGAGGUGGCGACGGCUCACCAUUCACUCAGUGCUUUGUUUAUGUCUAAAUCAGACAGUCAAAGCCUCAAGGCCGAGGUUUCGUUCUCCCAGGUCCACGCUUUGCAAAAUGCCAUCUGCGCUUACCACACUGUAUAAAUAAUAAAUAAUCAGAGCAAAGAAUCAGUAAACGGGUGCCAGAUUGCUGAUUAGCACAAGCACUCAACACAUUCAGAGUUGCUGCUGCCGCUGCUGAGACAAAACUGGUUUCUCCAGGAAAAACAGAGCAGUGAAAAGGAGCCUUGGAUGAGAUUCUUGGUCACAGUUCAAUUUGGAUGAGGCGGAGGACAAACUGUGGAUGGAAGGGCUCCCAAGGGCAGCUUUCCUUCCUGUCUUUUAAAGGAAUUUUCAUGAGGACCAAAAGCUCUCUCUGGUUAUUUCUUCUGUACCUUGGCCCAGGGCCUGACAGGAAGGAGGCAUAUCACAGACAUAUCUCUUAAUCUAUGCCUCUAAACACAAGAAUGAACUUUUAGCUCAUCUCAGUGCCUAGCUUUGGAGGCAGACCCCUCCUCCCAUCUUUUACUUUAUUCUUGUUUUCUAUUAAUAGUGUUUUGCCUGUGUGUGUGUGUGUGUGUGUGUGUGUGUGUGUGUGUGUGUGUGUGUGUGUAUACCUCUGCAAGUCAGAGAAAAAUCUUAGAAUUUCUUUGAAAUAGAGUUAGAGAUGGUUGUGAGCCACCAUGUGGGUGCUGGGAGGCCACCCCUAGCCAGUGAUAUUAACCAUUGAACGACCUCGCCACCUCCUAAUUCUUGAUUCUUGAUUCACUUUGAGACAUUUCUAAUCACCUAAGGAACUAUACUUUUAUAUUAAACCACAUUAGGUAUUAAUAAUUUAGUACUCAAACUAAUAGUCAAUUUUAUGUGACUUUUUGGUUAACAAGGCAGAUGGAUAGCUCUAACAUACAAUGCAUAUUUUUAUUGUGUGUGGUUUAACUGUUAUUUGUUAUAGGGCAUGUGUCAGGAAGGAAGGUUAGAGACAUGAUAAGUAAUCUACAGUGCUUACUGCAUUCUGGGUACUUCCUCAAGAUGCUGAGGCUUCUCUUCCUUUAAGGUCCCGAAUCUAUGAACUACUGAAGAGUGGGAAAUUGGUUGAAUGGCCACAUAUCUCUAUUGUACAGAUUCCACUCAGUUUGGUUGAACAAACCUGAAACUCCUCUGAAUUUACAAGGUGAGACCCCAGUAGACUGUACUGUCCAUCUCUUAAGCUUUAGGGCCACUGCAGUGGUGACUAAUAAAGCCACCGAAGUGAGCUACCAGACAAUAGUAGAUUCUUUCUUUCCCACCAUUACGCUUACUGCCUUGGUCCUAUUGCCUGUGACUGAGACUAUAUCCCCUUUGGUUUUGGUGAUUAAUUCUGCCUCUUGAAUUCUUCCACUCCAAGAUCCAAUCAUUCACACUGAAUUCAUAAGGAAUUAACACUUAGCUCAACUCACUGCCUUACUCUGGAAUUAUUUGGACCAGUUAGACGGCACAUAAGAAGAGGUGUUUCAUAAAAACACCCCUUAGGCAUGUUUUUCUUAUAGACUAGGUAACACGAAUGUCCUCUGAAUCCUCUUGGGGGACAAGCUAGGAAGGAACAGUAUUACAAGAUAAAUCCAUGUUCAGAUUUCAUGAAACCUUCAUAUACCUUCCUCUUAAGUAUUCUAACCCAAAUGUUUUAGUCUCAGACUCUUUUGCAGUUUCAAAAAUUGCAGAGAACUCUAAAGAGAUUUGAUUUGGGUGAUAUCUACAACUACCUUAUAUGUUUUUAAAAAUUUAAAGCUGAGAUGUUCAAUAAACAGUCCAUUGAUGAAAUACCAAAAUGUACUAAGCGUUUGAAAGGUUAAUUACAAUGUGAAAUGGAUAGUACAUUGAUUCUUCCUUCUGUUGAGAUCCAUUGGUUAAUCUUGAACUUGGAAAGAUCCUUUUAUUGAUUUGUAUUUAUUUGUAACAUUAUAUUGUGGUCACUUGCAAAAUACUAGUUCACCGAGUUAUCCAGCUAUCUGAAUUGCCAACUUCUUUCAUCAUUAAAGACGAAUAUUAUUCAAGGUUAAAAGUCCCAUUUGCUAAUAUCAAAAAUUAUAAUGAUCUCAAAGCUUAUGAUGGUGGAUAUGUGUUUUCCAAAUCCCAUUUUCAGUCUGCUGGUCCAGAGGGACACAGGUUCAAUUUCCAGGACCUACAUUGAAGCCCAACUGUUGUCUUUUUCUCCAGUUCCAGGGGUUCUGACACCCUCUUCUGGCCUCUGAGAGUAUCAGGCAUGCACAUGGGUAGACAUACAUGCAGGCAGAACACAAGAGAAAACAAUAGCACUGAUAAAGAUGUGCUUCCGUUAUCAAGGCCAUGCCAGUCACUCUUUGCUGCUCAGGCAUGUGCCUUGUUGUCAACAUCACUCUCUGGAUGCUGUACCUAUCCAAGUCUGCCCAGCAAUCUCCGUCUUCCUUCCCUGUCCCAUCACCUUCAGUACACAUUCUGCUAUAUUGUCGAAGUUUUCUGUCUGUAAAAAUGGGUAAAUUUGUGAGAUCCUUUUUAUAUUCGUGUACCAACUCUCUGAUGUUAGUCUCUGAUCCAACAACAGCCUGAGUCUUGUGAUGGUUUUAAAGUCAACCAAGAAAAUUUUUGAGAAUGAAAAUGAACACACAAUUAUACAACAGAAGAAGCAGGACAGGAGGAUGAAAAUGUACACUCUCCCUAUUUGCGACCUCAUCCUCAGAAUCCUGAAGGGAUGUAGAAAAAUCAUUCUAACCCACGGAGGUUAGGGUUGUCUCCUUGUUAAAUAGGCUCUCAAUGCAGAAGAAUACAGAGAAACAGCUGCCCGCCUACCACAUCACAUCUUCUUCUGUCCAUAGAUGAGGUUGCAUUAUAACUUUCUGAGAUGGCCAUUCUCCAUUAUCAGUUAAUUGGAUUUAGCGGCUGGAGAGAUGGCUCAGAGGUUGGGAGCACUGGCUGCUCUUCUGGAGAUCCUGAGUUCAAUUCCCAGCAACCACAUGGUGACUCACUACCAUCUGUAAUGGGAUUUUCUGGUGUGUCUGAAGACUGUGAUACUGUACUCACAUACAUUAAAUAAAUAAACAAAUAAAUCUUAAAAAAACAGUUAAAUGGAUUUAGAAUAGAUAUAUCUCUCGGGGGAGGGGAGUUCCUGAGACGUUUAACUGGGGAAGGAAGACAUUCCUGAACUGUGGGUAGUACAAUCCCAUGGACUAGGGCUCUCACUGAGUAAAAGGGAAAAGGGAGAACUCCAGGUGAAACUAGGACUUAGCUCUGCUUGAUUCUUGACUACAGAUACAAUGUGACCAGUUGCUUCCUGUUCCCACCACCAUGCCUUGCUACUGGAAAGAACUUAAUCCCGUAAAACCAGGAGCCCAAAACGAAAUAAAACCAAACAGAAAAAAAAAACCCAUAUUUUUUUUCUUUUAGUUGCUUCAGUCAGGUACUUUGAAAAGUAACUAAUGCAGUCACUAAAGUAAAAUCCUAUGACUAGAGUCAGGCUGGAGGAGACAUUCAAACUCUACCAUCCAAUAGCAAUGGAUUUGAGCAAUUUCUUAAUUUCGUGGGGUUUCAGUUUCUUAGUAAGUUGGAAUGCAGAGGGAAUUCAGGCUCAGUCGAUACUAUACUGAUUUUAAAACUAAAACUUUGGGCUGUGCAUAGUAACACAUCCCUUUGAUCCCAGCAUUAGGGAGGCAGAGGCAGGAGUUCUAGCCUGGUCUACAUUGCUCCAGGACAAUUAGGGCUGCACACAGAGAGACCUUGUCUCACAAAACCACCCGGCAGAGCUGUGAAGCUUGCAUAU
Non-coding RNA from Rattus norvegicus (Norway rat), 11471 nucleotides. The record is from RefSeq and is a predicted model, not a curated record. Lineage: Eukaryota; Metazoa; Chordata; Mammalia; Rodentia; Muridae.